AGACAACAUCUGGUUGGCAGCAUGUUAAGAGCCUUUGUCCUAUGUCUGGAGACUUCUUGGAAGCUGGAGCACACAAAUAGCUACAGCAAACUUGAGGAAUGGGCAUGAAUAGACUGGCUUCGGGGAACCUGCCAGCUUGGCCGUGUGGCCAAGGUAAUAGGCAAGCCAAGGCAGAGCUAGAGCUCAGAGCUGGAGGGGAAAUUAAAGCAGCAAAUGUAGAAACAUUAAGCCUGAAGAGGCGACGACGUUGAAUUCUAAAAUGCAGGCCAAAGCUCAGACUGCAAGCUGUCUGGCUGCUCCGGGUGUGCCCAGAAGUCAAAGUCCAGCAGGGGCAAAGGUGGAGGUGUGGUCCUGCACGUGGGGUGUUGGGGGGAUGUGGAAGAGGAGGUGCUUUAAGAUCCAGAGAUUCCAGCUGCCCUGGUGCACCCUUGGAAGAAUAAAAGGCUAGGAACUGGACAAGUCAGGCUCGAGUCCAAGCUGCCUGAGGAAUCGGGGAAAGAAUGGAGCUCAGAGUGGGAGGUCAGGGCAGUAUUUAAAAAUCCAGGAUAGCAGCAAAGCUGGCGGUGGCCCCUGACUCUGGUAAGGGCAGCCUGCAGCACCAUGCCAAGGGGGGCCUGACUGAUCAUGCCCUGCAUUUGCAAACAAGGAUUAGUAGGGUAUGAGUAGGAUUCUGCUGGUGCCUGGGAAGGCAGUGCCAUCUACAACUUUACAAAGUUUUAACAAAGGCCUGAAGGACACAACCUUCCCCAAAGUCCUGACGUCGCUGUUUGCUGGCAACAAAUAGAGUCAAAAGAAGAGAGGCACAGAAUGUGCCAGGGGUGUGCUGCGUACAGCCCCGAUGACCACAAGGCCUUCUUGGGUCAAGUUCUGCCAUCUCUGGUUAAGAUGGGCUCACCCUCUAGGACCCUGAUUGAGUCCUCGGACCACCAAGAGUGCCCCACCAAGAGCCUCCCUCUUCUGGUGACUCGUGCCUGCUUCCCGUGGAGAGCUCCAGAAGGGAGGAAACUGUGAGGAGGUGGAGAACGUGGCAGGGAUCCUAACUUUCUUACUGAAGGAAGUUCUUCACAAGUACCCAUCUGCCUUCAGGGAAGAAAACAUAACUCAUUUUGGUCUUUCAAAUUCAGUUCUCAAAACCAAAUCCUGUUGUCAGCAAUCUGUGUCCCAACGCCUUCUUCAGCAACAGCAUUUUCCCUGUGGAAUUAGUUUCCAAUGUUCUUUCUUAAAUAAACCACUGAAGAUUAAAAGGAAUCCAGAUACCCACCA
Homo sapiens (human) is the source of this 1263-nucleotide long non-coding RNA. Ensembl annotates it as long intergenic non-protein coding RNA 1010. NCBI's taxonomy places the organism in Eukaryota, Metazoa, Chordata, Mammalia, Primates, Hominidae. The record is from Ensembl.